CAAGGAUUGCCUUAGUAACGGCGAGUGAAGCGGCAAAAGCUCAGAUUUGAAAUCUGGUGUCGUUAGACAUCCGAGUUGUAAUCUGUAGAGAAGUACUUUAUGUCAGACAUUAGCUUAAGUCCUUUGGAAUAGGGCGUCAUAGAGGGUGAGAAUCCCGUGCAUGGCUUUUGUUCUGUCAUUUGUAAGUCUUCUUCAACGAGUCGAGUUGUUUGGGAAUGCAGCUCUAAAUGGGUGGUAAAUUUCAUCUAAAGCUAAAUAUUGGCAAGAGACCGAUAGCGCACAAGUAGAGUAAUCGAAAGAUGAAAAGAACUCUGGACAGAGAGUUAAACAGUACGUGAAAUUGUUGAAAGGGAAGCACUUGCUACCAGACACACUUGCAGUUAAUCAGCCUAUAAUUUUAUUGGUGCACUUAGCUGUACGUGGGUCAGCAUCAGUUUUGUUGGAGGGAAAAAGAUUGGAGAAAUGUAGCUUCACUUGUGAAGUAUUAUAGUCUUCGGUUAGUACCACCUGAUGAGACUGAGGACCGCACUUUUGUGAGGAUGCUGACAUAAUGGUCGUAAGUGACCCGUCUUGAAACACGGACCAAGGAGUCUAACAUCUAUGCGAGUAUUUGGGUUAAAAAACCCUUAUGCGAAAUGAAAGUGAAUGUAGGUGGGAACCGCAAGGUGCACCAUCGACCGAUCCUGAUGUUUUCGGAUGGAUUUGAGUAGGAGCAUAGCUGUUGGGACCCGAAAGAUGGUGAACUAUGCCUGAAUAGGGUGAAGCCAGAGGAAACUCUGGUGGAGGCUCGCAGCGGUUCUGACGUGCAAAUCGAUCGUCAAAUUUGGGUAUAGGGGCGAAAGACUAAUCGAACCAU
This 856-nucleotide ribosomal RNA is filed under the name Adelphella babingtonii. RNAcentral describes it as "partial large subunit ribosomal RNA". It matches the Rfam family "Eukaryotic large subunit ribosomal RNA", at positions 69 to 943 of the family's 3401-position model. The record is from RNAcentral. Lineage: Eukaryota; Fungi; Ascomycota; Pezizomycetes; Pezizales; Pezizaceae.